Molecule: ribosomal RNA, 156 nt
Filed under: Cupriavidus necator
Lineage: Bacteria; Pseudomonadati; Pseudomonadota; Betaproteobacteria; Burkholderiales; Burkholderiaceae
Also listed under: 1 other name
Description: 16S ribosomal RNA
Rfam family: Bacterial small subunit ribosomal RNA
Source: RNAcentral
GAUUUUGUACACACCGCCCGUCACACCAUGGGAGUGGGUUUUGCCAGAAGUAGUUAGCCUAACCGCAAGGAGGGCGAUUACCACGGCAGGGUUCAUGACUGGGGUGAAGUCGUAACAAGGUAGCCGUAUCGGAAGGUGCGGCUGGAUCACCUCCUU